UGUAUCUGAAGCCUGACGAGGAUGAGAACCUCCGGGGGCAAGAGGUUCGACCCGAGCGAAGCGAGAGAACGUUGCGGCAGCAACGGCCCGCAGUGGCGAGUCAUCCUCUAUCACCGACCA
RNAcentral lists this small RNA (120 nucleotides) under Salmonella enterica. RNAcentral describes it as "RtT sRNA". It matches the Rfam family "RtT RNA". Rfam says of the family: This family represents a bacterial cis-regulatory element known as RtT RNA. The record is from RNAcentral. Lineage: Bacteria; Pseudomonadati; Pseudomonadota; Gammaproteobacteria; Enterobacterales; Enterobacteriaceae. RNAcentral also lists the same sequence under 2 other names.